RNAcentral lists this long non-coding RNA (247 nucleotides) under Homo sapiens (human). RNAcentral's name for it is "HSALNT0195050". Lineage: Eukaryota; Metazoa; Chordata; Mammalia; Primates; Hominidae. The record is from RNAcentral.
AUUUCUUCAAUUUUUGUUGCGUUCCCCAAUGUCUACACUUCAAAAUAAAGUUUAGCAUACAAAUGAAAUGUGAUGUAUGAAACACAUACAUAAGGCUCCACUGAUUUGCUUUGUUAAAAGAACUCUGUUCCAUCACAGGAAUAACUCUACUACCUUGAGGCAGGAGAAUCGCUUGAACUCGGGAGGCAGAGGUUGCAGUGAGCCGAGAUGGUGCCACUACACUCCAGCCUGGGCAACAAGAGCGAAA